RNAcentral lists this ribosomal RNA (445 nucleotides) under uncultured bacterium. Its description in RNAcentral is "partial 16S ribosomal RNA". It matches the Rfam family "Bacterial small subunit ribosomal RNA", at positions 354 to 796 of the family's 1533-position model. The record is from RNAcentral.
GUGAGGAAUAUUGCGCAAUGGAGGCAACUCUGACGCAGCCAUGCCGCGUGCAGGAAGAAGGCGCUACGCGUUGUAAACUGCUUUUAACCGGGAAGAAACCCCAGGACGUGUCCUGGGUUGACGGUACCGGAGGAAUAAGCACCGGCUAACUUCGUGCCAGCAGCCGCGGUAAUACGAAGGGUGCAAGCGUUAUCCGGAGUCAUUGGGUUUAAAGGGUGCGUAGGCGGAGCGUUAAGUCAGUGGUGAAAUCCUGCAGCUUAACUGUAGACUUGCCAUUGAUACUGGCGCUCUUGAGUGCGCUUGAAGUGGGCGGAAUGUGCCGUGUAGCGGUGAAAUGCUUAGAUAUGGCACAGAACACCAAUUGCGAAGGCAGCUCACUAAGGCGAUACUGACGCUGAGGCACGAAAGCGUGGGGAUCGAACAGGAUUAGAAACCCCAGUAGUCC